AUGAUGAAACGUCAUCGUAGAGAAGAAAGGGCCUUGAGGAACUGGAAAAGACCACCUUCACAAUUCUCACAAAUGCUCACCAAAUGGGCCGAUUCUUGGAAGUUCACCGACUUAACUCUCAACCAGGAUGGCGAUUUAUGGCAGCAGGGUUGGUCUGCCAAUUCUCAACCCAGGCCUAUUAGAAGAGUGCGAGAAAAUGAAGACAUCCCGCAUAAUGGACCAGCGGGGGUUCGCACAUGGGCAGAGUCCUGGAGGUCAACGAGACAUCAGCAUCUUCUGGAAAGACAAGCGACAAGUGCAUCUACCCAACCGGUCUGUCACCUUACAUAUGCACGAUGCGUUGCAGACUGGGAAAAAUCAUGGAAGUCAUCAACUCAUCUGCGUCGUCAUGAUAGACCCUCCAUGACGGCAUGGACUGAUUCUUGGAAGUUCUCCAGCUUUGAGGAUCUCCAACGUGAGCAUGCAUGGUUUGAGAGAUCAAAGGAAAUCAAAGGCAGAAAGGAACUUUGCAGAGCAUCAAAUGCAUUUAGCAGAUCAUUUGAUUCUCAGACAUUCAAAGAACGAUAUCCUGCGGAUGAGUGGAAUGACUCCUGGAGGGUUAAGAAGAGGUUUGAUGGUCCAGGACUUGCGCAACUGAUGAAAAACGAAGUGCUAAAUUGGGAUAACUCUUGGAUGUUGACCAGCACAGAGUUUUAUCAAAAACAAGGUGAAUGUUAUUUGAAUUCUCACCUGACGUCUGAUGUCAAGAGCCAUGCGAUGCUCAAAUCAGUGCAGAUCGAGAGCUGGUCAGAUUGGGGUCGAUCGUGGAAGAUGUCAAACCCACAACCACCAAAGAACAUCGCCUCGUGGGUUGAUGCAAAGCCAAGAUCAUUCAAUGCACAAGACCUGAUUCUUUGGUCCAAACACAAAUGCAUCUAUAAUUUACCUUCUGCUUCGCUCAGAGACUUAAAGCUGAAAAUGUGGAGCAAGUCCUGGAGGUUCAUGACGAUAGACCUUGACUCACAACAAAGGAAGGAUGAGGAUAAAUCUGUAAUAAUGUCAAAGACUAUAAAGAUAAGAAAGCAUAUGUACUCGGAUAUAGAUCAGCUGAAACCACAAAUGAAGAGAUGGAGUGAUGCAUGUAAAAUAGCAAAGAUGCAACCACAAGCAAAGCGUAACGUUCAAUCCAAAUCUGACAACAUGGAAGAUGAAGAUGAAGAAAUGUUUGCAGAUUGGAUGGAAUCUUGGAAAUUCUCAAAUGAUUUAAAAACUUGUGAGCCUGCAAAUGUAUCUCUGAGCAAUUGGAAAAAGUCUUGGAAGUUUCUCCUUGAUCCGAAUGUAACUAUCAACGGCCCAAAAACUAGCAAGAAUCGAUGA
Cyprinus carpio (common carp) is the source of this 1356-nucleotide long non-coding RNA. The record is from Ensembl. NCBI's taxonomy places the organism in Eukaryota, Metazoa, Chordata, Actinopteri, Cypriniformes, Cyprinidae.